This 951-nucleotide non-coding RNA is filed under the name Amphiprion bicinctus (twoband anemonefish). RNAcentral's name for it is "12S ribosomal RNA". It matches the Rfam family "Bacterial small subunit ribosomal RNA". The record is from RNAcentral. Lineage: Eukaryota; Metazoa; Chordata; Actinopteri; Pomacentridae.
CAAAGGCUUGGUCCUGACUUUACUGUCGGCUCUAGCUAGACUUACACAUGCAAGUAUCCGCACCCCUGUGAGAAUGCCCUCCAGUCUCCCGCCCGGAGACAAGGAGCCGGUAUCAGGCACGGUUAACACCAGCCCAUGACACCUUGCUUAGCCACACCCUCAAGGGACACCAGCAGUGAUAAAUAUUAAGCUAUAAGUGAAAACUUGACUUAGUUAAAGCUUAGAGGGCCGGUAAAACUCGUGCCAGCCACCGCGGUUAUACGAGAGGCCCAAGUUGACAGACUACGGCGUAAAGAGUGGUUAGGGAAACUUUUAGACUAAAGCCGAACGUCCUCAAAGCUGUUUAACGCUUCCGAGUUAAGAAGAUCCAUUACGAAAGUAGCUUUACCCAACCUGACCCCACGAAAGCUGUGAAACAAACUGGGAUUAGAUACCCCACUAUGCUCAGCCCUAAAAUUUGAUAGGCCAACUACGCCCCCUAUCCGCCCGGGUAUUACGAGCAUCAGCUUAAAACCCAAAGGACUUGGCGGUGCUUCACAUCCGUCUAGAGGAGCCUGUUCUAGAACCGAUAACCCCCGUUAAACCUCACCCUCCCUUGUUAAUUCCGCCUAUAUACCGCCGUCGUCAGCCUACCCUGUGAAGGACUAGAAGUGAGCAAGAUUGGUAAGACCCAAAACGUCAGGUCGAGGUGUAGUGUAUGAGAGGGGAAGAAAUGGGCUACAUUUCCUAAAUCAGGAAAUACGAAUAAUGAACUGAAAUAAGCAUUAGAAGGUGGAUUUAGCAGUAAGCAGUAAAACAGAGUGUUCUGCUGAAAUCUGGCAAUAAAGCACGCACAUAUCGCCCGUCACUCUCCCCGAGCUAACACAAAAGCAAAUACCUAAAAAACUACAUCUGCAAAGGGGAGGCAAGUCGUAACAUGGUAAGCGUACCGGAAGGUGCGCUUGGAACAAU